GCAAGCAAAAUAUCAACCAAAACUUUACAAAUUUCAUUAGUAGGCAACCAUAAUAUGUCAAACCACAAAAGUUAACCAUGUCAAACAUCGACAUAUCAUUACAUUCCAUGAUUUGAAACCAAUAUAAAUAUUGCUAUUUCUCCCUAGAUAACUGCUAUAUACCUAACAUGUGCUAAAAUCAAAAGAUGGACUUCAAUUCCAUGGUCAACAAAAUACUAGAGAUGGAUGAUAUCAAAAUAGAGGAAUUCUUCAGUAUGAGCUAAAAGCAGUCCAAAAGCCAAAAGCAGUCCAUAAUGUUGAGUUUAUCCCAAACUCAAAAGCCAAAAGCCAAAAGCAGUCCCAAACGUUCAUCCCAAACCUGUACAAUAAAACCAAGAAAAAUCUGAAAUCAGAGAAACAAUAGAAUGGCAUGGAAAAGAUGUAUUUUUGUUAUGAUGCAUGGAUGAUCACUACAAAUUGAUUAGGAACCACCUAAUCAUGAGGACAAGCAAUACAAGAAUAAUUACUAUGCUGAAGCAACCAAGUUGUUCCACAAUAGUAAGUAACUACACAUAAAUGCAUUUGUUUCGAAUAAAGAUCUACAAACUCACCAUUACUAGGAAGAACCUCCACACUGCUUCUGUUUCCAAACGAGGAAUUCUUGCAGCAUUUCUUGUAUCCCUUGCUGGCUUUGUACAAGAUUUUGGAUUUGGGUAUCUUGUGCUUGAAUUCGCUCCUCAUAGCAUUGAAUCUUCUCCUUGCACUGUUUUAGUUCUUCAAGUAGUGCUCUAUUAGCUGAAGAUUCGGGUUUGCGAGAAGAUUGGGGUGGUAUGACCCCCAUACCCAACCCUUUGGCACGACCAGCCCUCUUUCCUAGGACAUUUUCCAUAAUUUUAACUUCAUUGACAAUUUCUCCAUUCUCGAUGCAUUGCCUUCUCUCUUCUUUUAACUCAUCCUGUACAUAUUAGAUUCACAUAACUCAAAGAGUCAUUAAAUGUAUAAUAUAUAUGUAAAUGUCAUGUUACUAAUAAAAAACAAAGUUACUAGAAUCAGCCGACUAUAGUGAAAAUUACAUCGAGAGAUUUUGCAGUAUUAUUCACAAAUUGGCCAUCCUUUUUUAUGUGAGCAGCAGUCCAGGCAUCAAUUGCACUUGGUGGAACC
RNAcentral lists this long non-coding RNA (1140 nucleotides) under Coffea arabica (coffee). Its description in RNAcentral is "long non-coding RNA (CARA_LNC008139)". The record is from RNAcentral. Lineage: Eukaryota; Viridiplantae; Streptophyta; Magnoliopsida; Gentianales; Rubiaceae.